UGUAAAAAAGAAGCACACCUUUCUCAGAUUGUGCGUGCGGUUCGGGUGGAGCAGGGGUGUCGUGGCUGGCGAGUGGCGCGGGCGCGGCUGGAAUUGCGGCUAACCUAGGCGGCGCCGCGCCGGCAGCUUCAACGACGACGACGACUGGGCCUGAGGCCGGCGGCGAGUGGCGUGGGCACGGCUUGCGCCGAACGUAGGCGGCGCCGGCGACUUCGAUGACGACGACUGGAGCCUGAGCGAGGAGCAGCUCGACAAGCUCGUGCGGGACACCUACCGCGAGCUCGCCGAGGCCGAGGCAGCGCACACGACGCAUACGUCUCCGACACCUCCUCGCCGACGCCGCGCUGGAGGCAAUCGAAAUCCGCUCCCAGGCCAGCACGCACCCGUGGCUUGGCGUCGUCGACCACGUGACGUCUGCUCCCACCCCCUCGCCAGCAGCUCCUCCCUUGGCCGCGUUUUUGACCUCGCUGCCACCGUGGCCACCGACAUCGGCCAAACCCGUGGAUUUCUUCUUUCUCAUUUUCCCCCAAUUUUUCCAAACGAGGUCGCCGCCUUGCUGUGCCUGUACUUGCCGCCUGUCGCCGCAGACGCCACCCGGUAAGUCGUCAUGCUGCCUCCGAUUGGUUGCUGGAUGAAUCGAUGGAAUUUUGUUUUCUAUAUGCUCGUUUUUAUCCUUGUCUUGCGAUUAAAACUUGUUGCUGCUAUGAGUAGGCGUAGUUGAUUGCAUCAGCCAUGAGAAAUAUCACAUUGGAUCAAGUUGACUUGCACCUGUUUGAUGGAAUGCUCGUGAGAGUGUUUUUUAUUUUCUGGGUACACUGCAGGUUUGUUCUUUACAUCCUUCUCUGCAAGCUUGAAACUCUGACCAAUGUUACAAGAUUUUACUUUCUAUGGAAGUAUUUUAUUGAAACACUGAUCAAGUUGGUUCAGCAUUGGACGUUGGCAGCGCAUUGGAUUCGUUGGUGGCCGUCCUUUCAGACCGAGAACAUGCUCGGCGACCUCGUCCCCUUCAGAACCAAGGUCCAGCGACCGGGAGGUUCUGCAAGCUUGAUCUGAAUCCCUUUGUCACGCAGGUGUACAACGGCAGCCUCGACCGGCAGUUGGGGAUCACGGCGAGGUCCCCUUCACUUGCAGCAGCAAGGAGAAUUGCAUCACGCUGUUGCCUAAAUUAUUGCUGCGCUGCAAUUUGUACAAAUUUGUCCGACCUGUGCAAGGAGAAGUUCUGCAAAUCGCCACCUCGUAAUGCCCCAAAAGGUCCAUCACUCUGACUCCAUGAUUUGCUGUGUUUCCCGUCGGCAGUAGCUUGUGUUUGCCGCAGCAAUGCUUGGUUACUACCAGUUUCAGUGUAGAUUUAUUUUGAUUGCAAUGAGGUGGACAACUAACACUCUUCCUGGAUGUUGCUGAUUUUAUGGUUAAACCAACUAGUGAAGAAAAAAUAUUUUUUAUAUGAAAUCCCAUAGCUUGCUUGCUUCUCCAGUCAUAUGUACUUGUUUAUAUUAAUUGGUUAAUAUAGCUGAAAGAAUUUUACUGUAGGCUGAUAAGAAUCUAAUUUCUGAUGCUAUUAUGUUAGAGCAAGUUGCAGCUUUAUUGUUGUCCCUUUUGGGCUCAUUUGAAGUGCUAACCUGAUAUAAGCCUCUGAGAUAGAAUCCAAUUUUGUGUUUGAGUUCUUAAAGUCCAAUUUCUACAUGAUGUAAAAUGUGUUUUUGCGCUUACUUACCUACUGCGAGCUCACGGAGCGCAAGACCUCCUCCUUCCCCGCCUCCACCUCUCCCGCGACCUCGCCGCUCCCCAAUCGCCUGCUCGGUACCUCUCGACCCUAGACAGCUUCGGGACGCCCUUCUACGGAUUUGCUCCGCCAGCGAUGGCGACCGAACAUCCGUCGGAGAAGACGAUCCCGCCGCCGGAGAAGAAGGCGCCGCUUCUGAAGGUGGUUACCCUCUAGGCCCUCAAGCUGCCCAGAUUUGGGUGGACAAAAUGAGUGUGGCGUAGCCGGAUGAACUCAAUGAUAAGGAUUUUGAGGCGUCCUCGAGGCUCGGCCUCCUCCCUGUCUACGCCAGCGGCUGCUCGGCCUGGAGGUGGGCCGAACUUCCAGGCCUACAGCACAUAGACGGCUUGGCCUCGGCAACCAGGUGCUGGAGCUUGUCCGCGACCAGUUUAUCAAUCAAAAGUUCCUUCUGCUCUGCGGUGAGUUGAGAUCACGCCAUGAUUACCGUGCUUCUCAAGUGGAUAUGUGUUCUAGAUGCUACCAAAAUCAUGGUUCUUUUUAAGUGUAUAGGUGUAGGUGAUAUAGAUGCCAAUUAAAAAGAGAUACGGGACAUAUGUGCAGUCCGCCACCAAGGAGGAGCAAGAGUCAAACACGCAUCCUUCGAGAAGGCCUCGAGUAGAAGAAAUUGCAGGCAGAAAACAAGGUUCAAGUCAUAUGCCUCCAAAGGAUCCAUCGAUGCACAAGGCAAAUGUCACACCUCCCUGUCCCAUCGAUCUUCGGCAAGGUACUCCUACAGCCCAAUGAUGCUACACAGACGCACCAGAGCUCCCGAAAAAUCUGAUACCAAUCGUUGGUCAGCAUUUCAGUACGUUUGAUGAAGCAUUCAAAUUCUACAAUGCAUACGCCAAGCACACAGGCUUUGGUCUGAAGAGGAGCCAGCGCAACACGUAUCGUAGCUACAUACGAUGUACGAGGGAGGGUAAGUACACAACAAGUGUUCGUGACGGCGAACGGCAGCGUGACAGGGCACGUAAGAAAAUUGGGUGCAAGGCUCAUAUGGGACUGAAGGUGAAUGGUGAUGGUGGUUGCAUCAUAAAAAGCAUGCACUUUGAGCACAACCACCAACUGUCCCUCAGCCUGUCGAUGCUAGUUUUACUCCAUUCACACAAAAGAGUGAACCCAACCUUGCAGGACUACAUAAAAGACCUCCAAUUGAGCAACGUUAAGCAUGUUAACAUCAUGAGUUUGCUUACCAGGCUGAGUGGUGGCCGUGACAAGCUGGGAUGUCAUAAUAGAGAUGUGUUGAACAUGAAAGCGAAAAAUACACGCAAGGAGUCUGCGGAUGAUGUGCAAAUACUAUUCAAACUUUGAUGACAUGACAGCUGAAAAUGAGAACUUCUACUACGAUGUGCAUGUCGACGAAGAUAAUAGACUAAAUAACAUUUUCUGGGCAAACGCAAGCUGCAGAGGUGCCUAUGCUGAUUUCGAUGACUUCAUCACUUUCGACACUACGUACAAGUCGAACAAAUACCACUUACCCCUGGCGGUAUUUAUCAGCGUCAGUAACCAUUUGCUCUCAUCGAUAUUUGGUGUUGCAUUGACGGGUGAUGAAAGUGUAGAUUCAUUCAAGUGGGUGUUCAACACAUUCUUGAAAUGCAUGCGUGGGAAGCAACCAAUCUGCAUACUGACAGACCAGUGUCCAUCGCUGACGAAGGCUAUACCGCAGAUAUUCCCACGAUCUCUUCAUAAACUGUGCAGGUGGCACAUUAUGAGAAAACACAAAGAUUCGCUGUGAAAGCUAUACAAGCUGUUUCCUGACCUGAAGGAUCAACUGGCAGUGGUGCUGAACCAUCCGCUUAUGCCGACGGAGUUUGAAGCGACAUGGCAUGAACUGGUCAACAAGUACAAUCUUCACGAUGUCAACGUCAUGGUUAACCUUUGGAAUGAGAGGAAAACAUGAGUCUCCGCUUACUGGAAAGAUGUUUUCUGUGCACGCAUGACAUCUACGCAGCGAAGCGAGAGCAUGAACCAUGUGCUGAAGAAAGGAUUUGUGAGAGAACAACAUGAUCUCCACAUUUUUGCACAGCAGGUUAACAACUGCAUACAGACAAGGCGUGAGUCGGAAGCAGCGGAGGCAACAGCUUCUAUGGGAGUUAUGAAGCCAUUGGCACGAUAUGGCUUCGAGGCGCAAAUCCUAGAGCAUUACACUAGGGCCGUGUAUGGUGUGUUCCGGGAACGACAAUUCCAUAGCACCGGUUUCCGAAUUAAAACGUCUCCGCAUAAAAAACUGAGUUCCUUGUGCACCACUACAACAAGAGCAAAGUAUUUGCGUGGUCAAUGCACGAGUUUCGUGUGCUAGCGGACGAAGCUGUAGGCAUAUUUGAGUGUGAAUGCAAGUUGUGGGUAUUAUUUUUUGUCCUUUUUUGCGUAUAAUCUGUAGGAGAUAUAUAAAUGACGUG
Long non-coding RNA from Brachypodium distachyon (stiff brome), 4161 nucleotides. RefSeq lists it as uncharacterized. Lineage: Eukaryota; Viridiplantae; Streptophyta; Magnoliopsida; Poales; Poaceae. The record is from RefSeq and is a predicted model, not a curated record. The transcript has 7 exons.